RNAcentral lists this ribosomal RNA (887 nucleotides) under uncultured marine group I thaumarchaeote. RNAcentral describes it as "SSU rRNA". It matches the Rfam family "Archaeal small subunit ribosomal RNA", at positions 13 to 906 of the family's 1478-position model. Lineage: Archaea; Thermoproteati; Nitrososphaerota. The record is from RNAcentral.
CCUGCCGGACCUGACUGCUAUCGGAUUGAUACUAAGCCAUGCGAGUCUUUGUAGUAAUACAAGGCAGACGGCUCAGUAACACGUAGUCAACCUACCCUAUGGACAAGAAUAAUCUCGGGAAACUGGGCAUAAUUCUUGAUAGAUCAUAAUGCCUGGAAUGGUUUAUGGUUAAAAUGAUUCGUCGCCAUAGGAUGGGACUGCGGCCUAUCAGCUUGUUGGUGAGGUAAUGGCCCACCAAGGCGAUUACAGGUACGGGCUCUGAGAGGAGAAGCCCGGAGAUGGGUACUGAGACACGGACCCAGGCCCUAUGGGGCGCAGCAGGCGAGAAAACUUUGCAAUGUGCGAAAGCACGACAAGGUUAAUCCGAGUGAUUUCUGCUAAAGAAAUCUUUUGCCAGUCAUAAAACCACUGGUGAAUAAGGGGUGGGCAGGUUCUGGUGUCAGCCGCCGCGGUAAAACCAGCACCUCAAGUGGUCAGGAUGAUUAUUGGGCCUAAAGCAUCCGUAGCCGGCUUUGUAAGUUUUCGGUUAAAUCCAUGUGCUCAACGCAUGGGCUGCCGAAAAUACUGCAUAGCUAGGGAGUGGGAGAGGUAGACGGUACUCAGUAGGUAGGGGUAAAAUCCUUUGAUCUAUUGAUGACACCUGUGGCGAAGGCGGUCUACCAGAACACGUUCGACGGUGAGGGAUGAAAGCUGGGGGAGCAAACCGGAUUAGAUACCCGGGUAGUCCCAGCUGUAAACGAUGCAGACUGGAUGAUGCAUUGGCAUAAUAGCCAUUGCAGUGUCUCAGGGAAGCCGUUAAGUCUGCCGCCUGGGAAGUACGUACGCAAGUAUGAAACUUAAAGGAAUUGGCGGGGGAGCACCACAAGGGGUGAAGCCUGCGGUUCAAU